RNA transcript from Catharus ustulatus (Swainson's thrush), 3490 nucleotides. It is a transcript of the gene named zinc finger protein 474, with no coding region annotated. Lineage: Eukaryota; Metazoa; Chordata; Aves; Passeriformes; Turdidae. The record is from RefSeq and is a predicted model, not a curated record. The transcript is spliced from 2 exons.
GCUCAGACACACGUAGGCUGCCAGAGCAUGCCGUGGGGCAGCGCCAAAGUAUGCAAAGGAAAAAUGCUAUUAGCUCAUCAGCGUUGGAGAGACUAGAAACGGGGUGGCGGGGAGGGGGAAGGGGCCGCUGGCGAGAGAGGAAACAUGUUUCUGGAAAAUGUGCUGGCCGGCACAUCUCCCGGGCUGGAGCAGCUGCUGGUGACCAUCUCAGCUCUGAGUAACAGUCGGAUCCCCUUAACGACCUCUUAAUUGGGAGAAAACCUCCAUCAAAUAAACUCUUAACUAUUGACUUUUGGGUUUUGUGCAUAUGAGUCACACGAGAAAUAUAUUGGCGAUGCUUCUCCCGGAGUAAGUUUUCAUUGAAAAGUGAAAUUUCACAUGGGAGAGGCUUAGCCCCAUCACCAGAACAAAUAAACCUGGUUUGGGUAGUGUCUCCCCAAAACUGUGCUGGGGACGAGGAGCAGGCUGUGGCCCAAAAGUCUCUCCCUUCCUUCCUGCUUUUACAAGAGUUCAUCAAGGCUGUGUUUUGAAAAGUACAAUCACCCAGUAAGGCAAAUGAAUUAAGGUCCAUGGAUUUCAGCCAAAACUUCUUUUGGGUGUAUUUUUCCAAAGGCUGUUUGCUUAUGAAUCCUUGCAAAGGAAUUGAGGGGAAUACACAGAAGUUCUCUCUCACUGAAAGUUUGGUGGUGAGAAUAUUGAAGUGAAUCUUGUCAGUAAUGAUCAGCCUGGGCUGGAGGUUUUCACCUUACUCAGGUAGAUUCAAAGCACCCUUGGACCACUGUCAGGUCCACUUGUUCCUGGUGAGGUGGAUAUUGUGACUGGAUUUUGAUGUUUUAAAUACAGUCCUCCAGUCAUUAGUCGUGCUGUAGUUUAUUUUAAUUGCAUAUUACUUUAAAUGGUGCACACCUAGUAAUAGAAAACUAGCAACAUGUGGUCCCACUUGGUGGCUAGGAUAGAUGGUGAAUGCUGAUUUACACUGCUAUAGGAUUUUUAGUUGCAGUGCUCACCUUUAAAGUACUUUCACCACCCUGCAAUCUGCAGUGCCACCCUGCAUGUGUCAAAGGUCCCCCAGUGGGCAGGGGGUCAUUGGCUCUGACCAUGCUGCUCACCACGCCAGGCUUGCGUGAAUUGUAAAAAUUGUAAAAAAUGGUCAGUCUGGAGAACACUGAGGAGUACAGGGUGCUUGUGCUCCAGAGACCGCAAAGCUCUCUUACUUGAGAACAUAUCCAAUCACCAAGUGGGUGCUUGUUACGAUUGCUAGCCAGCACCAGGAUGGAGGGGGGCAUCUGCUGGACUGGGCCCACAGCCAGAACAGUAACUGAUGCCUUUCCACAAGCGGGCUGUGUGUGCUAGUUUGGGCAGUCUGCUGCAGAGGUGGUUUGGUCUGGGUUCUUUUAUUCAUCGUAUUUGCAGGCUGCUCAUCCCCCAUGAUCUUUCUCAUUGUGGCUUUGAAAAUAUUAUUCUCCAUUUAAACGUUUGCCUGGAACAAUCAGUGAUUAAGGCUGAGUAAAGCGGAAAGGUUGAAGAUAGGGAAAAUGCAACACUGAAGGAAUGAGGUUUCUGUCUUUUUACUCUUCCUCUAAACCUUACUAAUGUUACAAACAGCAGGUUGUUGCCCAAUGUGUGAUAUUAGACAAUGUUUCCACAGAGUGGGAUUCCAGCCAUUUUUUUCUUAUGUCUGAUUAAGUUACUAUUUUUCAUGAAACUGAAGAAAGCAUAUUUGAGGCCAGUAUUCUCACCCAUCUAUCAGCCAUUCACACUGUCUGCCAUUAUUUCCAUAGCAGAAGUUUCAUUUGUUAAUUAAUUUAGUGUUCAUAAUGCCUGAAAAGCAUUAUUAGCAUCCCUGGAGGGUCAUGUCCUUCCCUUAGCAUUAUGUGCCUGUAUCCAUUUGUACUUUCCUUUCCCCACAGGUUACCUAAUUACACCAGGUUUUUGCAUCAUGGGUCUGAAAAGACCAUCAGAAAGCUCUGCAACCUGAAGUGUGGAGGAUCUGCCAGCUUGAUCAGAAAAAGCAGCUACAGAACCUGAGACAGCUGUUGCCCUUUUCUUGUAUAGUGAGGGCUGAAGACAAAGCCUUCUGAUACCAGUGGAUUUUUUUUUUUUUCUGUCAAAUCAGUGGUUUACAAUGAGGUCUUAAUAGCAGUAUUUCUUAAGCCUAUUUAUGUGUUGCUAAAGCUGAACAUGCGUGAUUUCACAGGAUGCAGUUAUGUGGUUUCUUUCUUGAAUGUAGAUUUCAAAAGAGCAUAGUGAAUAUUAAACAAAAAGCCGUUCACUUCUUGAAUUUAUAAUGUGUUCCAUCUCUGUAUAUUUUUUCUAAUUUUCCUAUUUUUUUUCUGUCUUCCACGUUUUCUAUAAAAGCGAGAUUUCAAAAAAUGUGAGAUAAAUAGACAAAUAUGCACUUCCUGCAAAUUUGGUCAAAGAUUCGAAAAUCCACCAAAGCUUAUUCUUUUCUUAUAAGUAAGCAUCUGUAAUGAAAGCUUCCCUAGCUAUUUUCUAUGUAGUAUUCAUUGCAGUGGUAUGCAGGUUGUCUGAUGACGCAUUCAAAGGAACAGAAAUCCAAGACACUCAGACUGAAGAGCCCAUUAUCUGUGCAUUAACACCUGUGAGAUGUACUAGAGUUAGCUUCAUUUAGCAAGGUCAAUAAAAUUCAGAUUAGAUAAAAUUCAGAUUAGAUUAGUACAGUGCAUGGGUAAACAGUGCCCUAUUACUUAGGAAGUUCAGUCCUGCAUUGUCUCCACAAGCUGAACACGUACUGAAGGACUGCCUUCCAUCUCAGCCACAAACACCUGAUUUUAUUGAAACUUAUGAAUCCUUAGGAGAGGUUACUGUGGGAAACACAAGCUGGGCUGAACAGUUCGAUACACAGGCACAUCUUUGUUGUGGCAGUGCUCCAAAACGAGUCUUCCCUUCUGCAUAUUUUGCACAAAAGCAUGAGAACCCCUCUAGUGAAUCCAAACUGAGGAAGGCUUGAGAGAAUAAUUAGUUUUGAAUCGAGACAUUCACGAGAUUGAGAUUAUGAACAUCCUAUAGGAAGGGAGAGAACUGGAUACCUUUCCAAAUCAGCCAUUUUCCUUCCAUCUUCAGCAGGGGAGGAGUCCCUGCUGAUCAUUCACAAAGAGGAACACUGCCCAACAUAAUGAAAGAACAGAACACGUCAGCAGAAAUUUUGGAACAUGAUUUUCCUAUGCAUCUCAUCAAAUACUCUCCCAAAACUUGGAUCAGAUGGUUUUUUAAUAGCAUCUUUGUCUUCAUCCCUGAGAUUGAGUGGCCAUCACAGGGACUGUAGCGUUACUUGUGGAAUUUCAAUGCCUGAUGGAAAAAUGCCAGAGAAAAUGCCAGUUUCAAAUCCCAAGGUGAAUUUUUGUAACUGAUAUUAGAAAAAAACCUGAUCUUAUACUUACAAGGCUCAAUUAAAACAGUGACCAGUAUUGCCAUUCAUAAUGCGAAUGUAUAAAAACUGAUGAUGACAAAUAAAGAACUGCCAGAAGAA